Molecule: ribosomal RNA, 660 nt
Filed under: Halecium sp. CLAetal13
Lineage: Eukaryota; Metazoa; Cnidaria; Hydrozoa; Leptothecata; Haleciidae
Description: partial large subunit ribosomal RNA
Source: RNAcentral
CUGUUUACCAAAGACAUAGCCCUAGAAAAUAUCUAAGGUGUGACCUGCCCAAUGGUUUUAAAUUAAAAACUGAUAGACACUAUUUAAUAAGACUUAAAGGACGCGGUAACCUUGACCGUGAUAAUGUAGCAUAAUCAUUCGCCAUUUAAUUGAUGGAUAGUAUGAAUGGUUGAACGAAUAUUCCCNUGUCUUAAAAAGAAAUUUAUAAAAUUGAAAUAAUAGUUAAGAUGCUAUUUAAAAUUGUUAGACGAAAAGACCCUAUAGAGCUUAACUAUAAUCUUUCUUUUAUCAGAAAGAUAGGUAGUUUAAUUGGGGCGAUUAUCUUUAAAAAUAACAAAGAUGAAUAAAAAAAUAAUAAGAAAAAUGUGUAAUUAAUAAAUUUAACAAAUACUAAAGUAGAUUAUAAUGACCCGUUAUUAGUUUACAGAAAUUAUAACGAUUAACAAAUAAAAGCUACCUUAGGGAUAACAGGAUAAUUUUAUUUCAGAGAUCUUAUCAAAAUAAAGUUUGUCACCUCUAUGUUGAAUUGAGAUAUCCUGGUGAUGCAGAAGUCACCAAAGGUGGGUCUGUUCGACCCUUAAAAUCUUACAUGAUUUGAGUUCAUUCCGUCGCAAGACAGGAANUUUCUAUCUYUGAAGAUAGAGUUAUUGUGUGUAGGUU